This 468-nucleotide unclassified non-coding RNA is filed under the name Allium dichlamydeum. Its description in RNAcentral is "partial external transcribed spacer". The record is from RNAcentral. Lineage: Eukaryota; Viridiplantae; Streptophyta; Magnoliopsida; Asparagales; Amaryllidaceae.
GCCCAACACUGGCACUGCCGUACACUCACCACUAACAACACACACGAUACAGUCCGGGGGGCGAAAAACGCCGGCUGACUACUCUGGGUGUUUAAAAAGCAUGGAUACACAACCUUCUGCGAUCCAAGAGUCCAACGGUAGCAUCUUUUGCCUGGGCCAGACCUUAUCACAAGCCACUACAACAAACAUGGCGGGGAGGAGAACAGGUUCACGAACCCCCCAUGUCUCAACCUGCGAAGCCAUAAAACUAACGAGACAAUGCAACGGAUAGUAAAAAGAGCAACUAACGAGGUUAUCAAAACGCCCACAACAGGUACAAUUCCUUAGAAACCUUCUCAAAGCAAACACGAAAGUUUAAAAAACGAACCAAAAAGGUCGUGGUAGAUUCUUUUCCGGACGUGCUCCGCAACGCGCCGUCCUUGCGAUCUGCAGCAGCACGUCCACGGAUUCUUCUGCACGAUGGACCAC